UACGUAGGGUGCAAGCGUUGUCCGGAAUUAUUGGGCGUAAAGGGCUCGUAGGCGGUUUGUCGCGUCGGGAGUGAAAAACACUGGGCUUAACUCAGUGCCUGCUUUUCGAUACGGGCAGACUAGAGGGCAUGCAGGGGGAGUAACGGAAUUCCUGAGUGUAGCAGUGAAAUGCGUAGAUAUCAGGAGGAAUACCGAUGGCGAAGGCAGGUCUCUGGGCUGACACUGACGCUCAUGCACGAAAGCGUGGGGAGCAAACAGG
This 259-nucleotide ribosomal RNA is filed under the name uncultured bacterium. RNAcentral's name for it is "partial 16S ribosomal RNA". It matches the Rfam family "Bacterial small subunit ribosomal RNA", at positions 524 to 776 of the family's 1533-position model. The record is from RNAcentral.